CGGCGGACGGGUGAGUAAUGCCUAGGAAUCUGCCUGGUAGUGGGGGACAACGUUUCGAAAGGAACGCUAAUACCGCAUACGUCCUACGGGAGAAAGCAGGGGACCUUCGGGCCUUGCGCUAUCAGAUGAGCCUAGGUCGGAUUAGCUAGUUGGUGAGGUAAUGGCUCACCAAGGCGACGAUCCGUAACUGGUCUGAGAGGAUGAUCAGUCACACUGGAACUGAGACACGGUCCAGACUUCUACGGGAGGCAGCAGCA
Molecule: ribosomal RNA, 257 nt
Filed under: uncultured Pseudomonas sp.
Lineage: Bacteria; Pseudomonadati; Pseudomonadota; Gammaproteobacteria; Pseudomonadales; Pseudomonadaceae
Description: partial 16S ribosomal RNA
Rfam family: Bacterial small subunit ribosomal RNA
Source: RNAcentral